This 216-nucleotide long non-coding RNA is filed under the name Nicotiana benthamiana. RNAcentral's name for it is "long non-coding RNA (NBEN_LNC036255)". Lineage: Eukaryota; Viridiplantae; Streptophyta; Magnoliopsida; Solanales; Solanaceae. The record is from RNAcentral.
CGUUCAACAACUGCCCUAUGUGCAUUAGAGACCAUGUUUAUAGUAUUUUUACUGCAUUUUCUUAAAACCAUGCCUAUAGUUUGAACGCGUAAAAAAUCUAUUAUCACCUAGCCUAUAAGGAAUACGCUUAAGAACAAUCUCAAUACUUAGACAUCAUACUCUUAGGGAUGAAAGUGGCAAAUCAAUUCUGUAAUGCUUGUGAUCAUUUUUUAGCAC